UCAAUUGAAUUCCAGAGAUAACGCCACCUUCUAGAGAGAACAGAUGAUGCGACGGCAUCUCUCGUCGGCAAAAGAGAGAGAAUUUGUACGAGGAGUGCGUCUGGCAACUGAUUGAUGCGAUCUAGGGUUUCUUCAACUCCAGUGACUCUAUUCUCUUGUUUCUGCGACAUUGAAUCUCUCAAAUUACUAGUAAAAUCUCCAUUUUUGCUGGGAUGGAGUGAAGCCAUGAUUCAAGAGAAAAAACUAAAAAGGUUUUGAAAAUUUCCACUAAAGAGUGACGGCCCUCAUUCUGUUUUCUUUUGAAACCUGAAUUUUGUUUGCAUAGGAAGGUUGCGGGAUGGGGGUUUAUGGGACAGACAAUGCAAUAGAUUUAUCUUCUAUAUUUGUUUUCUUUGGUUUUCUGUGUACUCCUUAAUGCUUAUAUCAGUUCCACAAUUAUUAUUGGGCAUAUUUAGGCUUUGUAAGUAAUGAUUAUUUGUUUUUACAUGAAGUGCCGACACACAGUACUUGUGCGUUAGUUCAAAAUUGUGUCUAAUACUCUUGGUUAGAUUAUCAGGACUCAAUUAGGGAAAAUGGUUGCACUGAUAUACUUUUACCAUUAUAUAAAGAUGCCCCAAAUACUUCGAGCAAACUUCAUUGGUUAGCCUAAAAUUAAUUAAAAGGUUAGCCUAAGAAUCCUCCCCCAUCUUCUCCAUCCUUGGUUUUCGUCUUUGUCUUGUCGCCACAGCCGCAUCCCCUCCAUUCGUACCUGACUCGGUCCCACCCUCAUCCAACGCAACUCGGAUCUCCUCCGUCCGGCGCAAAUAGUCGGUCAAUUUAUGAGUAAUCCCUUCCUUAAUCUUAGUUCCUCAAUCACCCGCACCACCCUCUAAACCUAGCAGGUACAAAUAUCGAUUUUCAUUUUUCUUUUUCUGAUAAUUCUGUUUGGUGGAAAUUAUGAUAUUAAAAUUCCAACUUGAUAAAUUAGGAAUGAAAUGACUGAUCUUUUUCUUUUCCGUGUUGGCUUUUUCAAAGAACCCAAAUUUUCACAGAACCCAAAUUGGGAAAGAAAGGUUUAAAGAAGAAGGAGAAAAAAGGACCAGUCUUGGGCACAUAGUUGCUGAAAGAAGGAACAAUCAUGGUCGUGGGUGAGAAUGGGUCGUUGAAUCGGACGGACGACAAUGAUUCUGUUGUCGUCGAUCAUUAGUCAAAUCAGAAUGGCUUGCCACAGUCAACGUUACCGAUCGAUCAGAAUCUUCAGAUGAAAACCACUGUCCAUAAGCCUCAAAUGGAUGUAUUUCAACAGCAACAACAAAGAAUCAACGACAAUGGAGUGCUGAGUCAUCACCAUAAACAAUUGUAUAUGAGGCUAAUAUUUAAAAUUCAUUUUAGAUAAUUUUGAGUCAUCGCCAUAUAAAGCAUUUCUUUUGAAUAUUGGUAUAUUACAAAAU
This 1430-nucleotide long non-coding RNA is filed under the name Nicotiana tabacum (common tobacco). Its description in RNAcentral is "long non-coding RNA (NTAB_LNC005473)". Lineage: Eukaryota; Viridiplantae; Streptophyta; Magnoliopsida; Solanales; Solanaceae. The record is from RNAcentral.